GCCUUGUUAGUGUAGUGGUAACACGACUGACGUUGUGCCCUUGGCUAUCGUUUCUUUACUAAAGGGAAUGAUACCUGGGGGCAGAACCAAAGUCAACCCAGAGUUCAAUUCCUGGACGAGGCA
Massariosphaeria phaeospora is the source of this 123-nucleotide non-coding RNA. The record is from the annotation of a GenBank genome assembly. NCBI's taxonomy places the organism in Eukaryota, Fungi, Ascomycota, Dothideomycetes, Pleosporales.